AUUGACCGCUGGCGGAAUGCUUUACACAUGCAAGUCGAACGGCAGCACGGGUGCUUGCACCUGGUGGCGAGUGGCGAACGGGUGAGUAAUAUAUCGGAACGUGUCCAAUAAUGGGGGAUAACAUAUCGAAAGAUGUGCUAAUACCGCAUACGCCCUGAGGGGGAAAGCGGAGGAUCGUAAGACUUCGCGUUAAUGGAGCGGCCGAUAUCGGAUUAGCUAGUUGGUGAGGGAAAAGCUCACCAAGGCGACGAUCCGUAGCUGGUCUGAGAGGACGACCAGCCACACUGGAACUGAGACACGGUCCAGACUCCUACGGGAGGCAGCAGUGGGGAAUUUUGGACAAUGGGGGCAACCCUGAUCCAGCCAUUCCGCGUGAGUGAAGGAGGCCUUCGGGUUGUAAAGCUCUUUCGCAAGGGAAGAAAACUUAGGCUCUAACAUAGCCUGAGGUUGACGGUACCUUGAUAAGAAGCACCGGCUAACUACGUGCCAGCCGCCGCGGUAA
This 502-nucleotide ribosomal RNA is filed under the name uncultured bacterium. RNAcentral describes it as "partial 16S ribosomal RNA". It matches the Rfam family "Bacterial small subunit ribosomal RNA", at positions 30 to 523 of the family's 1533-position model. The record is from RNAcentral.